This 614-nucleotide ribosomal RNA is filed under the name uncultured phototrophic eukaryote. RNAcentral describes it as "bacterial SSU rRNA". It matches the Rfam family "Bacterial small subunit ribosomal RNA", at positions 879 to 1501 of the family's 1533-position model. The record is from RNAcentral.
AUUACGCUUGCAAAAGUGAAACUCAAAGGAAUUGACGGGGACCCGCACAAGCGGUGGAGUAUGUGGUUUAAUUCGAUGCAACACGAAGAACCUUACCAGGGUUUGAAAUCAUUUCAAAACUCCUUGAAAGAGGAGCCUCCUUCGGGAUGAAAUGACAGGUGGUGCAUGGCUGUCGUCAGCUCGUGUUGUGAAAUGUCGAGUUAAGUCUCGUAACGAGCGCAACCCAUGUCUCUUGUUGCUCAUUGAGUGCUUAAGAGAGACUGCCGACCAACAUCGGAGGAAGGUGUGGAUGAUGUCAAGUCAGCAUGCCCCUUACAUCCUGGGCUACACACGUACUACAAUGGUAGGGACAAUGAGCUGCGAUCCUGCGAAGGCUAGCCAAUCUCAAAAACCCUAUCUCAGUUCGGAUUGUACUCUGCAACUCGAGUACAUGAAGGUGGAAUCGCUAGUAAUCGCUGGUCAGCUAUACAGCGGUGAAUACGUUCCCGGGUCUUGUACACACUGCCCGUCACACCAUGGAAGCCGACUCUUCCCUAAGUCGUUACUCGAACCCAUUGGGACGAGGAUGCCGAAGGCAGGGUUGGUGACUAGGGUGAAGUCGUAACAAGGUAACC